Filobasidium floriforme is the source of this 97-nucleotide non-coding RNA. NCBI's taxonomy places the organism in Eukaryota, Fungi, Basidiomycota, Tremellomycetes, Filobasidiales, Filobasidiaceae. The record is from the annotation of a RefSeq genome assembly.
UCCCUCUUAGCUCAGUUGGUAGAGCGCUACACUAGUAUUAAACUAGAAGCACAACUGCGAUAUGUAGCGGUCAGCCGUUCGACUCGGCUAGCGGGAA